This 390-nucleotide ribosomal RNA is filed under the name Ochromonas tuberculata. RNAcentral describes it as "partial small subunit ribosomal RNA". It matches the Rfam family "Eukaryotic small subunit ribosomal RNA", at positions 30 to 432 of the family's 1831-position model. Lineage: Eukaryota; Chrysophyceae; Chromulinales; Chromulinaceae. The record is from RNAcentral.
GCUUGUCUCAAAGAUUAAGCCAUGCAUGUCUAAGUAUAAACGACUUUAUACUGUGAAACUGCGAAUGGCUCAUUAUAUCAGUUAUAGUUUAUUUGAUGGUCCUUGCUACUUGGAUAACCGUAGUAAUUCUAGAGCUAAUACAUGCAUCAAGCCCCGACUUCUGGAAGGGGUGUAUUUAUUAGAUGGAAACCGAUGCGGGGUAACCCGGAUUUUGGUGAUUCAUAAUAACUUUCGGAGCGAGUAAUCGCUGCAUCAUUCAAGUUUCUGCCCUAUCAGCUUUGGAUGGUAGGGUAUUGGCCUACCAUGGCUUUAACGGGUAACGGAGAAUUAGGGUUCGAUUCCGGAGAGGGAGCCUGAGAAAUGGCUACCACAUCCAAGGAAGGCAGCAGG